GGUUGCUAACAAGGGUAUAUGGUGGAUGCCUAGACACUAAAAGACGAUGAAGGACGUAGCAAUCUGCGAUAAGCUUCGGGGAGAUGAUAAGCAAUCUAUAAUCCGAAGAUUUCCGAAUGGGGAAACCCUUCCGUUUGAAGAACGGAAACCACUAACUGAAUACAUAGGUUAGUUGGAGGUAACCUGGGGAAUUGAAACAUCUUAGUACCCAGAGGAAAAGAAAGAAUUAAUGUACUUAUUAGAGUUAUUGAUAAUUUUUAAUUAUCAUUAGCUUUAAUCAGUAUCUCGAUUCCCUGAGUAGCGGCGAGCGAAAUGGGAAAAGCUCAAACCUUAAAUAAGAUAAAAUAUCUUGAUUUUUAUUUCGGUAAAAUGAUAGGUAUGGAAAUAAUUACAAGUUUAAUGCUGUUUAAGGAGUUAUAAGAAGCUAUUAUUUUACAGCUUGUAGAUGUAAAGCAUAAGUAUUAUUUUUUAGUAGAAUAGUCUGGAAAGGCUAACUAUAAAAGGUGAUAGUCCUGUAAACAAAAAGAAAUAAUAAAAUGAAAUAGUUUUCUUGAGUACCACGGAGCUGGUGAAACUUUGUGGGAAAUCGGCGUCACUAUGCGCCAAAGCUAAAUACUUUUAGUGAUCGAUAGUGAACUAGUACCGUGAGGGAAAGGUGAAAAGUAUCCCGAGAGGGAGAUGAAAUAGUAUCUGAAACCAUAUACUUACAAGGAGUUGGAGCCCUAUUCUGCUUGCAGAAGGGUGACAGCGUGCCUAUUGAAGAAUGAGCCAACGAGUUAGCUGUAUGCAGCUUAUUUAACUCCUUCGGGAGGUAGGUGAAGUGAAAGCAAGGAUUAAUAGUCCGUAUAUUACUUAAUGCUUUGUAGCUAUUUAUAGCUACAAAGCACAUAGUAAUAAGGCUGUAUGCACUAGACCCGAAACCAGGUGAGCUUGCCAUGACCAGGGUGAAGCGACCGUAACAAGUCGUGGAGGCCCGAACCCACUAGUCGUGCAACACUAGGGGAUGAGUUGUGGUAAGAGGUGAAAUGCUAAUCGAACCUGGCAAUAGCUGGUUCUCCUCGAAAUAGUUUUAGGACUAGCCUCUUGAGUUAAGUUUUGGUGGUAGAGCACUGGCUGGAAUGAGGUGACAUUACGUUCAUACUCGUUUCAAUCAAACUCCGAAUGCCAUUACGUAUUUCAAGGGAGUCAGACCAUGAGGGCUAAGCUUCAUUGGUCAAAAGGGAAACAGCCCAGAUCUCAGUCUAAGGUCCCUAAAUUUAAGUUAAGUGUGAAAGGUGGUGUCGUGACUUAUACAACUAGGAGGUUGGCUUAGAAGCAGCCAUCCUUUAAAGAUAGCGUAACAGCUCACUAGUCAAGUUACUUCGCGCCGAAAAUUUAACGGGGCUAAACUUAAUACCGAAGACGAGAGUUUUUAUCUUUUAGAUAAAAGCGGUAGAGGAGCGUUCUAUAUGUGCUGAAGCAGUACCGUAAGGAGCUGUGGAAUGUAUAGAAGUGAGAAUGUUGGCAUGAGUAGCAAAAAUCCAGGUGAGAAUCCUGGACACCGUAAACCCAAGGUUUCCUGGGCAACGUGAAUCAACCCAGGGUUAGGCAGUCCUAAGGCGAGGCCGAAAGGCGUAGUCGAUGGAUAAGCAGGUUAAUAUUCCUGCUCUACUGCUAUUUUUCGAUGGGGGGACGUAAUUUGGAAUUUUUCGCGUUAUUUGGUUAUGAACGUUGAUUAUUAUUAGUGUGUUUCUUAGGUAAAUCCGGGAAACAUCAGCAUGAAAAUAAUCAAGAGAUUAAGACUUCGGUCAAAAUCAAUGAAAAAUAAAUAAUUACCUAGAAAAACCUCUAGAUUUAAGAUAGUAGUAACUGUACCGUAAACCGACACAGGUGGGUGAGGAGAGUAUCCUCAGGUGUACGAGAGAACCUUCCUUUAGGAACUCGGCAAAACAGCGGCCGUAACCUAGGGAUAAGGCCUGCCCAGCAUUAGCUGGGCCGCAGCGAAAGACUUCGAGCGACUGUUUACCAAAAACACAGGUCCCUGCUAAACCGUAAGGUGAUGUAUAGGGGCUGAUGCCUGGCCAGUGUCCGAACGUUAAGGGGAUGGGUUAACGCCUUGAACUGAAGCGCGGAUGAACGCCGGCCGUAACUAUAACGGUCCUAAGGUAGCGAAAUUCCUUGACGGGUAAGUUCCGUCCUGCACGAAUGGCAUAACGACUUGAAGACUGUCUCAAGGAAGGACUCGGCGAAAUUGCAAUACGAGUAAAGAUGCUCGUUAACCGUAGCCGGACGAAAAGACCCCGUGAAGCUUUACUAUAGUUUGGUAUUGAAUUAGGGUUAUACUUGUUCAGGAUAGGUGGUAAGCUUUGAAGCUUAAACGUUAGUUUAAGUGGAGCUAACCUUGAGAUACCACCCUUGUAUAAUUUUAAUUCUAACUCUAUUCCAUGAAUCUGGAAUGAGGACAGUAUCUGAUGGGUAGUUUAACUGGGGCGGUUGCCUCCCAAAAUGUAACGGAGGCGUUUACAAAGGUUGGCUAACUCCUGAUGGAAAUAGGAGUCGUCGUGCAAACGCAUAAGCCAGCUUUACUGCAAGAGCUACAACUCGAGCAGUUGCGAAAGCAGAAGUUAGUGAUCCGACCGUACGAAAUAGGACGGCGGAAGCUCAACGGAUAAAAGUUACUCCGGGGAUAACAGGCUGAUCAGAUCCAAGAGUCCACAUCGACGAUCUGGUUUGGCACCUCGAUGUCGGCUCAUCGCAUCCUGGGGGUGGAGAAGCUCCCAAGGGUUAGGCUGUUCGCCUAUUAAAGCGGUACGCGAGCUGGGUUCAGAACGUCGUGAGACAGUUCGGUCUCCUAUCCGCUACGGUCGUUGAAUUUUGAGGAAAUUUCUUUCUAGUACGAGAGGACC
RNAcentral lists this ribosomal RNA (2885 nucleotides) under marine metagenome. RNAcentral's name for it is "bacterial LSU rRNA". It matches the Rfam family "Bacterial large subunit ribosomal RNA". The record is from RNAcentral.